CCCUUAGAUGUUCUGGGCCGCACGCGCGCUACACUGAUGCAUUCAACGAGCCUAUCCUUGACCGACAGGUCCGGGUAAUCUUUGAAUCUGCAUCGUGACGGGGAUAGAUUAUUGCAAUUAUUAAUCUUCAACGAGGAAUGCCUAGUAGGCGCAAGUCAUCAGCUUGCGUCGAAUACGUCCCUGCCCUUUGUACACACCGCCCGUCGCUCCUACCGAUUGAGUGGUCCGGUGAGGCUUUGGGAUCUAAGCGAAAAGAGCGUUUCGCUCCUUUUGCUGGGAGAACUCAGUCGAACCUUAUCAUUUAGAGGAAGGAGAAGUCGUAACA
Molecule: ribosomal RNA, 325 nt
Filed under: uncultured eukaryote
Lineage: Eukaryota
Description: partial 18S ribosomal RNA
Rfam family: Eukaryotic small subunit ribosomal RNA
Source: RNAcentral